RNAcentral lists this ribosomal RNA (437 nucleotides) under Escherichia coli. Its description in RNAcentral is "partial 23S ribosomal RNA". It matches the Rfam family "Bacterial large subunit ribosomal RNA", at positions 796 to 1230 of the family's 2925-position model. Lineage: Bacteria; Pseudomonadati; Pseudomonadota; Gammaproteobacteria; Enterobacterales; Enterobacteriaceae. The record is from RNAcentral.
AUUAGCGGAUGACUUGUGGCUGGGGGUGAAAGGCCAAUCAAACCGGGAGAUAGCUGGUUCUCCCCGAAAGCUAUUUAGGUAGCGCCUCGUGAAUUCAUCUCCGGGGGUAGAGCACUGUUUCGGCAAGGGGGUCAUCCCGACUUACCAACCCGAUGCAAACUGCGAAUACCGGAGAAUGUUAUCACGGGAGACACACGGCGGGUGCUAACGUCCGUCGUGAAGAGGGAAACAACCCAGACCGCCAGCUAAGGUCCCAAAGUCAUGGUUAAGUGGGAAACGAUGUGGGAAGGCCCAGACAGCCAGGAUGUUGGCUUAGAAGCAGCCAUCAUUUAAAGAAAGCGUAAUAGCUCACUGGUCGAGUCGGCCUGCGCGGAAGAUGUAACGGGGCUAAACCAUGCACCGAAGCUGCGGCAGCGACGCUUAUGCGUUGUUGGGUA